RNAcentral lists this ribosomal RNA (44 nucleotides) under Trichoderma lixii. RNAcentral describes it as "partial 28S ribosomal RNA". The record is from RNAcentral. Lineage: Eukaryota; Fungi; Ascomycota; Sordariomycetes; Hypocreales; Hypocreaceae. RNAcentral also lists the same sequence under 2 other names.
UUGACCUCGGAUCAGGUAGGAAUACCCGCUGAACUUAAGCAUAC